RNAcentral lists this ribosomal RNA (703 nucleotides) under Cunninghamella echinulata. RNAcentral's name for it is "eukaryotic LSU rRNA". It matches the Rfam family "Eukaryotic large subunit ribosomal RNA", at positions 50 to 648 of the family's 3401-position model. The record is from RNAcentral. Lineage: Eukaryota; Fungi; Mucoromycota; Mucoromycetes; Mucorales; Cunninghamellaceae.
GCGGAGGAAAAGAAAAUAACAAUGAUUCCCUCAGUAACGGCGAGUGAACAGGGAAAAGCUCAAAGUUGGAACCUGGUGGGCCUAGCCUACCCGGAUUGUAAACUAAAGUUUUUGGGUCGUUUAGUCAGCCAGAUAAAUAAGUCCUCUGGAAAGGGGCGACAUAGAGGGUGAAAUCCCCGUCUUUGGUCUGAGCAUGAUUAGGCGUUUGGCCUGGAAACGAAGAGUCAGGUUGUUUGGGAAUGCAGCCUAAAAUGGGAGGUAAAUCUCUCCUAAAGCUAAAUAUUGACGAAAGACCGAUAGCGAACAAGUACCGUGAGGGAAAGAUGAAAAGCACUUUGAAAAGAGGGUCAAAAAGUACGUGAAAUUGCUGAAAGGGAACCGUAUAAAAUCAGACUUACUGAUAGGUAAUCAACCUUCCUCUUGGGGAGGGUGCACUUGCCUGUUAUUGUAUGCCAGCAAUACUUUGGUUGGGAGGAAAAAAGUAGGAGAAAUGUAGCCUAGGCUUCGGUUUAGGUGUUAUAGUCUUUUGCAAAAUACUCUCGGCUGGAGUAAGGAACGCAGCAAACCGUAAGGCGAAGAUUUUGGGCGCUUGGAAUUAAUAGUUGGAGAAUUUCUGCUUCGGGUGGUGCUUUAGCUAUUAGUUUUAACCCGCUUAAAGUUCUUUUAAUUUGCUUAGGUUGUUGGCUUAAUGAUUUUAUAUGAC